This 453-nucleotide ribosomal RNA is filed under the name Octochaetus n. sp. 1 TRB-2010. RNAcentral's name for it is "partial 16S ribosomal RNA". It matches the Rfam family "Bacterial large subunit ribosomal RNA", at positions 1859 to 2597 of the family's 2925-position model. Lineage: Eukaryota; Metazoa; Annelida; Clitellata; Crassiclitellata; Octochaetidae. The record is from RNAcentral.
CUGCCCAGUGACAACUGUUUAACGGCCGCGGUAUCCUAACCGUGCAAAGGUAGCAUAAUCAUUUGCCUAUUAAUUGUAGGCUAGAAUGAAUGGACAAACGAAAUAAAACCUGUCUCGAUCAGUAAUUUAAAAAUUAACAUCUGUAUGAAGAGUUACAGAUAAAGUCGAAGGACAAGAAGACCCUAUAGAGCUUUAUUUUAAUACAGAAAAUAACUGUACAAAAAAAUUCGGUUGGGGCGACCAAGGACAUAACAAUCAUCCUAAAAAUUAAAGAUAUAUUAAUCUACAAAAUGACCCUCCUAAGAUCAUAAAAUCAAGCUACCUUAGGGAUAACAGGCUAAUCCUAUUUAAGAGUCCAUAUCUACAAUAGGGCUUGGCACCUCGAUGUUGGCUUAGGGUAUCAAUAUAGCGCAAAAGCUAUAUAAAGAAGGUUUGUUCAACCUAUAACUCCCU